GUGAGACAGGUGCUGCAUGGCUGUCGUCAGCUCGUGUUGUGAAAUGUUGGGUUAAGUCCCGCAACGAGCGCAACCCUUAUCCUUUGUUGCCAGCGGUUAGGCCGGGAACUCAAAGGAGACUGCCAGUGAUAAACUGGAGGAAGGUGGGGAUGACGUCAAGUCAUCAUGGCCCUUACGACCAGGGCUACACACGUGCUACAAUGGCGCAUACAAAGAGAAGCGACCUCGCGAGAGCAAGCGGACCUCAUAAAGUGCGUCGUAGUCCGGAUUGGAGUCUGCAACUCGACUCCAUGAAGUCGGAAUCGCUAGUAAUCGUGGAUCAGAAUGCCACGGUGAAUACGUUCCCGGGCCUUGUACACACCGCCCGUCACACCAUGGGAGUGGGUUGCAAAAGAAGUAGGUAGCUUAACCUUCGGGAGGGCGCUUACCACUUUGUGAUUCAUGACUGGGGUGAAGUCGUAACAAGGUAACCGUAGGGGAACCUGCGGUUGGAUCACCUCCUUACCUGAAAGAAGC
This 516-nucleotide ribosomal RNA is filed under the name Salmonella enterica subsp. enterica serovar Agona. RNAcentral describes it as "bacterial SSU rRNA". It matches the Rfam family "Bacterial small subunit ribosomal RNA", at positions 1029 to 1533 of the family's 1533-position model. RNAcentral also lists the same sequence under 1 other name. The record is from RNAcentral. Lineage: Bacteria; Pseudomonadati; Pseudomonadota; Gammaproteobacteria; Enterobacterales; Enterobacteriaceae.